CCUACGGGUGGCAGCAGUGGGGAAUAUUGGGCAAUGGACGCAAGUCUGACCCAGCAACGCCGCGUGAAGGAAGAAGGCUUUCGGGUUGUAAACUUCUUUUAAGGGGGAAGCGCAGAAGACGGUACCCCUUGAAUAAGCCACGGCUAACUACGUGCCAGCAGCCGCGGUAAUACGUAGGUGGCAAGCGUUGUCCGGAUUUACUGGGUGUAAAGGGCGUGCAGACGGAGAAGCAAGUUAGUUGUGAAAUCCCUCGGCUUAACUGAGGAACUGCAACUAAAACUACUUCCCUUGAGUACUGGAGAGGAAAGUGGAAUUCCUAGUGUAGCGGUGAAAUGCGUAGAUAUUAGGAGGAACACCAGUGGCGAAGGCGACUUUCUGGACAGUAACUGACGUUGAGGCACGAAAGUGUGGGGAGCAAACAGGAUUAGAUACCCCUGUAGUC
RNAcentral lists this ribosomal RNA (442 nucleotides) under uncultured bacterium. RNAcentral's name for it is "partial 16S ribosomal RNA". It matches the Rfam family "Bacterial small subunit ribosomal RNA", at positions 338 to 795 of the family's 1533-position model. The record is from RNAcentral.